CUACCAUGAUGAUAUAUUGAACUCUCUCUUGCUGAAUCUUUUGAAGAAACUACUUUACCAGAUUCUGAGUAGU
Small nucleolar RNA from Paramormyrops kingsleyae, 73 nucleotides. Its record names the gene SNORD26. It matches the Rfam family "Small nucleolar RNA SNORD26". From Rfam's summary of the family: U26 is a member of the C/D class of snoRNA which contain the C (UGAUGA) and D (CUGA) box motifs. NCBI's taxonomy places the organism in Eukaryota, Metazoa, Chordata, Actinopteri, Osteoglossiformes, Mormyridae. The record is from Ensembl.